Molecule: long non-coding RNA, 4903 nt
Filed under: Homo sapiens (human)
Lineage: Eukaryota; Metazoa; Chordata; Mammalia; Primates; Hominidae
Description: non-protein coding lnc-DLK1-35:80
Source: RNAcentral
CUGGGUGGCCCCAGUGCUGGUACCAUGUGCUGGCUUCACCUUUUAAUAACAGUGUGACCUUAAACAAGUCGCUUAACUACUCUAAGUUUCAGUUUCUUUCAUGGUCUAAAUGGAGAUUAAAACACACACACACACACACACACACACACACACACACACACCCCCUCGUGUAUCUACCCCACAGGGCGCUUUUGAAGACCAAAUGCUGUAACUACUAUGAAAGUGCUUUGUAAAUUGCUGUGGAAAGUGUGAGCUACUCAAGCACCCGAGGCUGUCCCUCCUUGCUCACAUGUCCAGCCCAAUUCUCCCUUAGUGAGAACAGCACUCAGUAGGUGCUGUGUGUGUUUGUGUUCAAUUAAGAAAUUCCAGAAUAAAUAAAAAUGAAUUAAUUCAACAAACAUUUUCUGGGGCACCGACAAUCUGCCCAGUGCACCAGGCUAGGUAUCUGAUACAAAGAUAAUGAAAACAGUCUCUUGGAACCUAAUUGGGGUCCUCAUUUGACCAGGAAUUUCUUUCGUCCCGUUUUAAGCCAACCAGUUUUGUCCGGACAAGACAAAAACAACUUGGGCUGCUUUAGAGAAGCCCAGCUCAGUGUAGACAAUAGCUGCCCAGCCUCUGAAAGGGGCUGAUUGGAUUAUGUGGCAAAUGGAGGUGCAAGGAUGACUUGGACGGUGACAAAUGAAGUGGGCGGAGACCUGCUUUGAGUUAAUCCAGGCUAUUAGGAGGGGACCUUUUGUCUUCCAGAGACUGGCAGGAGCUUUUACCAGUGGUUUUUACAUCCUUAAUGUUCAGGACGAAUAAUUUAUGGUCAGUGAAAAUCCAGGCCCCAGUGAGAUUCGAGUGGGCUGUAAAAUCGAGAGUCCUGCUCCCACCAAGCUUCUUGAAAGGCCUGUCUACACUUGCUGUCUUCCUUCCUCACCUCCAAUUUCCUCUUCAACCCACUGCUUCCUGACUCGCUCUACUCCGUGGAAGCACGCUCACAAAGGGCUAAUCUCGGGCCUUGUCGAAGGAAGAGGCUGCAGACGUUAAUGAGGUUAGCUGCUGGAUUCCAGUAUUCGUCGCAUAAGGAUCCUUCUUUGUCUGCGAAGGAAAAACACACUGAUUAUCAUAAUGAGGUGAACUGGCCACCGCCGGGCCGGGGCGAUGUGGCUUCUUAAGCCACACUUCUAAUUUUGGUGAUGGAGCCGACAUUUCUUUGGCUUCUCAUUUAAGUCUUUGCCUCUGUCCCAGUGCGAAGUCCAUUCAGCGGGGUUGAAAGUUGCAGGCAGCUUUGGGAAGGGGGGCGUCGGACAGGGUUGCAUUGUAGAAAGUGGCUUUGUUCGAUCCUUCGCACAGAUGCAAAUGGCCAGAGCAUUCAUUCCCUUUCUUCAAGAGCUGAGGACUGGGGGGGCCACUGGUGAUCAGUUCCCAACUCUAGCUCUCCUCUGACUCAUCUCAGGACCCAUUGAGGACAUCCAAAACUCACUCAAGAUCACCAAGUGGUAGGAAAGUACUAACUCCUGGGCAUAGCCCUAGGGGAGUGACUACAAUGUGAAUACUCAUGGAAUGCCUAGCCAGGUGAAGAAGUGAAUGCAUGUUGGCAUCCCAGAGGGACCCCCCUUAAGAGGGCAUAGUUUGGGGUUCAGAUUUGACUCCAGCAUACUGUUGAAAUUGGGCACAGGGGGCUAGUGAUUAGUCAGGAUCAAUCAGUGGAGAGGAGAUUAAAACUCACAUCUGGGAGUCCGGAAUCAGAACUUGUAGUUCUUUUUUUUGAAAUGGAGUCUCGCUCUGUCGCCCAGGCUGGAGUGCAGUGGCGUGAUCUCGGCUCACUGCAACCUCUGCCUUCCGGGUUCAAGCAAUUCUCCCACCUCAGCCUCCUGAGUAGCUGGGAUUACAGGCGCCCACCACCACAGCCGGCUACUUUUUGUAUUUUUAGGAGAGACGGGGUUUCACCAUGUUGGUCAGGCUGGUCUUGAACUCCUGACCUCAUGAUCCACCUGCCUUAGCCUCCCAAAGUGCUGGGAUUACAGGCGUGAGCCACCAUGCCCAGCCCUAUAGUAGUUCUUCUUUUGCCCCUUAAUAUCUUCACCCACAUGUCCUGUACCCUGCCUGAACCCUCCUCCUCUUUUUGUUCUGAUCUUUGAGCUCCCUAGAGCCCAUAAUUCUUUAGAGCAGGUAUGUCCCGAGUCUGAAACAUGCCCUUAUUUGUCCCAAGCUCUGGACAUUUCUCACCCCAAGGCGGAUCAAUCAUGAUUAAAUCACUCCAAUUAAACUUUAGGCUCCAGUCAGACCUUCAGCCAAAUGGAAAAAAAAACUAGGGGAUAAGGGAGGUAGUUGGAGCAAGAAAAUGUUAUUAGUUGAAACCUUACGGGACCUUCCUCCCUUAGUGAGUCUGUUGGCUAAAGGUUCUCUGGCUUCGUGAAUUAGAAUCGGAUACUGUUUCCAAGUUAGCAAAACCAACUCUACCCCAGCACCCCACGAGGAAGAAUGUGGAAGGAUCUCCCAUUGGCCGGUUGGGGCAAAAGCCUGAGGCAAUCUUUCAUCCCCUUUUGCCAAGGCGAGACUUUCCCAGUGACGGUGAUGUAGUUGGCCACUCUGACUAUGGGUGGACUCGGGUGUAGACCUCUGAAGCUGAGAUCACACGAAAACCUGGCCUCCCCGCCAUGUAGCUGUUGGAGAGUAGAAAAAUAGAGCACGCCUGAUGUUUCUAAAUGAGAAGACUUUCAAUAGUAAUGAAGAAUCCAUGGCACUCUCCUCACCCUCAAACACAUGGCAGUCAUUCACAUACAGGCCCCAAAGCCACUGUUAGUGCUGCAGUAGCUCCUGUGGACAUUGGAAAGCCCGGAGAGGGCGUGGAAGAAAUCAGCUGGCCCCCGGCAGGUUCUCUGGGGUUUUGUGCCCAAGGCUCCUGGAGCCCUAAAAACUUUCAAAAGUUAACUCCCCACGUCCCCAUCCUGCUUGGGUUUCUGGACUUUUCUGAGGCACCGGCAGAGGGGUCUCGUUGCUCCCUUGAGUGUAGGGGCAGCCCUUUAACCUGGCUCCUUGAGUCCCUGCUUUUUCUGCUUCUGUUGCCUUCUUCCUCGUCUUCCUCUCUCUCAAUAUCUCCCUCUCUUUGUCCCUCCCCAGUUCCUGACCUGGCCAUCCCGGGGUGCCCUUGACCAGCCCCGUGUCUCCUCAGGGUGUCCCAGCACCAGCCUGGCACAGAGUGGGGCUCAGUUAGAGUAUGUGGGAUGUUGGUUUCGCCAGGUGAGUGAAUGAAAGGACUCGACCACCACAGCUGAGCCACUAGCUGGGCCAUGCGAAGAGUUCUAGGUGCAAAGGCUGGAGGGUGGAAUUCAUUUUUGAGAGGUGUGUGAGCAGCUUCCGACCCCUGCCCCAUUUGAACGGGGGCCUUGCUGGUCGCGUCCCUGCAUUCACCCGCGCGGCCAUCCCGUCAUCCAACAGUUGAUCCUAACUGAGCACGCCCACGGCCCUGGUCUGGCCUGGGCACCGGCCACCGUAGCCCAUCCCUUGAUGGCCUCUGUGUCCCCAGGAGGGCGGGCCGGGGGGUUGCCCAGGGGCUGGAGCAGUGGACUGUGGCUCCAUAGAGGUAGGCCGGAGGGUGUGAGGGCAGAUUCAAGCUAUCCCCAGGGCUCUGCUCUGGUCGGAGCCAGCCCCUUCUCCCUCUCUGCCUUCCCCGCCCCAUUCCUGAUGCUGAACUGUUCUGGACCCCUGGCCCUGAGUCUCUCAGGACCAAAGUGGGCACGGGAACAGCUGUAGUGUGUGCCCCCCCGGGCUUUGGCCACAGGUCUCCCUCUCGAGGUGUGGUUGUGACUGCGACCCUUCCCUUGCCGUGAUGCCUUCCUCCCCCGGGGCUUGGUCCAGCUCCUUCACUCUCUAGCAGCUGCUGGGGCCCACCUCCCAUGCCGAGGACCAGCAGGGGAAACCUCCAGGGAGCAUCUGCAGGCUCUGCUUCUGCCCGGCUGCUGGCUUGCUCUCCCUGGUGGCUCUCCAGCGGCCAGCUUCCUCACCCACCCGGCACUCCGCUUUGCUCUGUCUCCUGAGGUGGGCCUGACCAACCUCCCCUUCUCUGCCUCAGUCCCUGGGCUCCAGGGCUCAGCUCCACAGCCCUCUGCCUAGCAGGCUGGUUCUCCCUGCCAAGCCCAUACCUGUGGUCACCUGGCCCUCCUGUGGUCUGAGUACCACUCCCCUGCCCCAGGAGCCACUCCCACUCCAGCUGCCUGUUUCCAGCAGGUUCCCAGUGCCCCCGACAAGCCCCUGCUGGUGUCUCCAUCUCCUGCCAAGCAUCCUCCAGUGCCUCCUCCUGUGGGCCUGGCCUCAGGGCUAUGGACAGACUCCUGUCCCAUCCCAGAGACCCCUCGUGAUCGUGCCCUGGCACGUGGGCCGUGGCCCGGCUGGGUCGGCUGAAGAACUGCGGAUGGAAGCUGCGGAAGAGGCCCUGAUGGGGCCCACCAUCCCGGACCCAAGUCUUCUUCCUGGCGGGCCUCUCGUCUCCUUCCUGGUUUGGGCGGAAGCCAUCACCUGGAUGCCUACGUGGGAAGGGACCUCGAAUGUGGGACCCCAGCCCCUCUCCAGCUCGAAAUCCCUCCACAGCCACGGGGACACCCUGCACCUAUUCCCACGGGACAGGCUGGACCCAGAGACUCUGGACCCGGGGCCUCCCCUUGAGUAGAGACCCGCCCUCUGACUGAUGGACGCCGCUGACCUGGGGUCAGACCCGUGGGCUGGACCCCUGCCCACCCCGCAGGAACCCUGAGGCCUAGGGGAGCUGUUGAGCCUUCAGUGUCUGCAUGUGGGAAGUGGGCUCCUUCACCUACCUCACAGGGCUGUUGUGAGGGGCGCUGUGAUGCGGUUCCAAAGCACAGGGCUUGGCGCACCCCACUGUGCUCUCAAUAAAUGUGUUUCCUGUCUUAACAAAAACUGA